AGUGGCGGACGGGUGAGUAACGCGUGAGAAUUUGCCUUCAGGUCGGGGACAACAGAGGGAAACUUCUGCUAAUCCCGGAUGAGCCUUAGGGUAAAAAAUUUAUUGCCUGGAGAUGAGCUCGCGUCUGAUUAGCUAGUUGGUAAGGUAAAAGCUUACCAAGGCAACGAUCAGUAGCUGGUCUGAGAGGAUGAGCAGCCACACUGGGACUGAGACACGGCCCAGACUCCUACGGGAGGCAGCAGUGGGGAAUUUUCCGCAAUGGGCGAAAGCCUGACGGAGCAAGACCGCGUGGGGGAGGAAGGCUCUAGGGUUGUAAACCCCUUUUCUUUGGGAAGAACAAAAUGACGGUACCAAAGGAAUCAGCCUCGGCUAACUCCGUGCCAGCAGCCGCGGUAAUACGGAGGAGGCAAGCGUUAUCCGGAAUGAUUGGGCGUAAAGCGUCCGCAGGUGGCAAUGUAAGUCUGCUGUCAAAACCCAGGGCUCAACUCUGGUCAGGCAGUGGAAACUACAUAGCUAGAGUUCGGUAGGGGCAAAGGGAAUUCCCGGUGUAGCGGUGAAAUGCGUAGAGAUCGGGAAGAACAUCGGUGGCGAAAGCGCUUUGCUAGACCGAAACUGACACUCAGGGACGAAAGCUAGGGGAGCGAAUGGGAUUAGAUACCCC
RNAcentral lists this ribosomal RNA (661 nucleotides) under uncultured bacterium. RNAcentral's name for it is "bacterial SSU rRNA". It matches the Rfam family "Bacterial small subunit ribosomal RNA", at positions 94 to 788 of the family's 1533-position model. The record is from RNAcentral.